GCCUUCGUGGUGUAACGGUAGCACACUCGACGCGUAUUCAAGAGGUCCAGGUUCAAGUCCCGGGUAGGGCA
Molecule: transfer RNA, 71 nt
Filed under: Stegodyphus mimosarum
Lineage: Eukaryota; Metazoa; Arthropoda; Arachnida; Araneae; Eresidae
Rfam family: tRNA
About the family: Transfer RNA (tRNA) molecules are approximately 80 nucleotides in length. Their secondary structure includes four short double-helical elements and three loops (D, anti-codon, and T loops).
Source: Rfam by way of RNAcentral